UAACACAUGCAAGUCGAGCGGUAGCACAGGGAGCUUGCUCCUGGGUGACGAGCGGCGGACGGGUGAGUAAUGUCUGGGAAACUGCCUGAUGGAGGGGGAUAACUACUGGAAACGGUAGCUAAUACCGCAUAACGUCGCAAGACCAAAGAGGGGGACCUUCGGGCCUCUUGCCAUCAGAUGUGCCCAGAUGGGAUUAGCUAGUAGGUGGGGUAACGGCUCACCUAGGCGACGAUCCCUAGCUGGUCUGAGAGGAUGACCAGCCACACUGGAACUGAGACACGGUCCAGACUCCUACGGGAGGCAGCAGUGGGGAAUAUUGCACAAUGGGCGCAAGCCUGAUGCAGCCAUGCCGCGUGUAUGAAGAAGGCCUUCGGGUUGUAAAGUACUUUCAGCGGGGAGGAAGGCGAUAAGGCUAAUAACCUUGUCGAUUGACGUUA
This 437-nucleotide ribosomal RNA is filed under the name uncultured Pseudomonas sp. RNAcentral's name for it is "bacterial SSU rRNA". It matches the Rfam family "Bacterial small subunit ribosomal RNA", at positions 49 to 477 of the family's 1533-position model. The record is from RNAcentral. Lineage: Bacteria; Pseudomonadati; Pseudomonadota; Gammaproteobacteria; Pseudomonadales; Pseudomonadaceae.